GGUUGCGUAGCUCAGUGAUUAGAGCAUCCGACUGUCGAUCGGAAGGCCGCGGGUUUGAUUCCCGUCGCAAUCGCCA
RNAcentral lists this transfer RNA (76 nucleotides) under Rhizobium laguerreae. RNAcentral's name for it is "tRNA-Asp". It matches the Rfam family "tRNA". From Rfam's summary of the family: Transfer RNA (tRNA) molecules are approximately 80 nucleotides in length. Their secondary structure includes four short double-helical elements and three loops (D, anti-codon, and T loops). The record is from RNAcentral. Lineage: Bacteria; Pseudomonadati; Pseudomonadota; Alphaproteobacteria; Hyphomicrobiales; Rhizobiaceae.